AACCGUGGAACCUCUGGAGUAUUACAGGAGAUUUCUGAAAGAGAACUGCCGUCCUGAUGGAAGAGAACUUGGUGAAUUCAGAACCACAACUGUCAACGUAGGUUCAAUUAGUACCGCAGAUGGUUCUGCUUUAGUGAAGUUGGGAAAUACUACAGUAAUCUGUGGAGUUAAAGCAAUGAGGUUCAGUAACUAGUCCAGGAAUUUGCAG
RNAcentral lists this small RNA (208 nucleotides) under Pongo abelii (Sumatran orangutan). RNAcentral's name for it is "processed transcript". The record is from RNAcentral. Lineage: Eukaryota; Metazoa; Chordata; Mammalia; Primates; Hominidae.